Molecule: ribosomal RNA, 447 nt
Filed under: uncultured bacterium
Lineage: Bacteria
Description: bacterial SSU rRNA
Rfam family: Bacterial small subunit ribosomal RNA
Source: RNAcentral
GUACCAGACUCCUACGGGAGGCAGCAGUGGGGAAUAUUGCACAAUGGGGGAAACCCUGAUGCAGCGACGCCGCGUGAGUGAAGAAGUAAUUCGUUAUGUAAAGCUCUAUCAGCAGGGAAGAAAAUGACGGUACCUGAGUAAGAAGCCCCGGCUAACUACGUGCCAGCAGCCGCGGUAAUACGUAGGGGGCAAGCGUUAUCCGGAUUUACUGGGUGUAAAGGGAGCGUAGACGGCAAUGCAAGUCUGAAGUGAAAGGCGGGGGCCCAACCCCCGGACUGCUUUGGAAACUGUAUUUCUUGAGUGCUGGAGAGGCAAUCGGAAUUCCGUGUGUAGCGGUGAAAUGCGUAGAUAUACGGAGGAACACCAGUGGCGAAGGCGGAUUGCUGGACAGUAACUGACGCUGAGGCGCGAAAGCGUGGGGAGCAAACAGGAUUAGAUACCCCAGUA